This 76-nucleotide non-coding RNA is filed under the name Curvibacter lanceolatus. RNAcentral describes it as "Xanthine-I sequence". It matches the Rfam family "Xanthine riboswitch aptamer (NMT1 RNA)". From Rfam's summary of the family: Later it was reported as a ncRNA that recognised Xanthine. Lineage: Bacteria; Pseudomonadati; Pseudomonadota; Betaproteobacteria; Burkholderiales; Comamonadaceae. The record is from RNAcentral. RNAcentral also lists the same sequence under 1 other name.
GGCAAGAGUAGAAGCGUUCAGCUGCCCUGUCCGGCCGGUGUGCCGGGCCUGGGGCAGACCGGGAAUUGCUCUUGAG